GUCACUGAAAGACUUUUCUGGCCAACCAAGCAUGAGCCUUACAGAUUGAGAAAGAUAAGGGGACAAGUUCUCAGUAGGUGAAUACUGGUGUUCAGAAGAGAUAUUCAGAGAUAUCAGC
Molecule: long non-coding RNA, 118 nt
Filed under: Anas platyrhynchos platyrhynchos (common mallard)
Lineage: Eukaryota; Metazoa; Chordata; Aves; Anseriformes; Anatidae
Description: lncRNA (ENSAPLG00000016499.1)
Source: RNAcentral